CUAUCAUCGAGAGUGGCGGAGGGACAGGCCCUGCGAAGCCACAGCAACCGAUCCGUCGAAGCCGACAGGCAAAGGGGGAUGUCAGGUGCUAAUUCCUGCUCGUCGGAAAACGAUCUUCGGCGGGAAAGAUGAGGA
This 135-nucleotide non-coding RNA is filed under the name Geoalkalibacter ferrihydriticus. RNAcentral describes it as "SAM-I sequence". It matches the Rfam family "SAM riboswitch aptamer (S box leader)". From Rfam's summary of the family: The SAM riboswitch is found upstream of a number of genes which code for proteins involved in methionine or cysteine biosynthesis in Gram-positive bacteria. The SAM riboswitch acts at the level of transcription termination control. RNAcentral also lists the same sequence under 1 other name. Lineage: Bacteria; Pseudomonadati; Thermodesulfobacteriota; Desulfuromonadia; Desulfuromonadales; Geoalkalibacteraceae. The record is from RNAcentral.